UCCCAACUACAUUAGACAACUCCCUGAUCUGGUGAGCAUGUCUAGUCUGAUUGUAGGCAUUGACGAAAGACAUGCAAUAUGGAUUCCUCAAUGAGAAUGGGCAAUUGCACAGUAGCAGCACAAGUAACCUGGAAGGGGGACGCAGAGCUACAUGGAUCUCACAGCAUUUUGCAUGAUAUCGGGCGCAAUCUAGCCAUCCGUUGGUGCGCUUUGUUAGGGUGUCAAGAACAUGGGUCCCGUGACCAACAUUAAAACAGAUUUUCCACAACCUUAAAGCUCAGUGCUGCUGAUGCACUCUCUGAUAUUGCCGUGUUGGACUAACUGUUGCACAGCUCAAAAAUCAAAAGCUUCAUGGACUUUAGCCAAAUAGCAAUAGAAUUCACGUGUGCCCCCUUGCUUUUCCCCCCAACUUGCCUAGUGAAGUCUAAGGUGUGGUUGACAUUUUUACCUUCAACUUUCCAUUCUCUCUUUUUUUCUUCACUUUCUCCAAGUAUAUUCUAUAAUGCUUGCCAAAAUUCAGUUUUUUUACCAAAUUUUAGCCAUACCUUGCACAGCAUGAGUGCAUUAACUAUGUGAUUUGGUUGUGGCUACCGAAUUCGAUAAUAAUGUUAUUAUAUGAUCCGAGUGCCAUAUUACAGAUUUAAAUAAUACGAUUUGAGUUUUCUUUUCGCAGAACCAAGGGAAAAUCUCGCACUGAAUUCUGCAAAAAGCCGGAAAAAUAGCAACGCUUUCCCUUUUCUGUGAAGGCAUUGCACAAGUCACGAGAAAUACAACGGUGCAUUCACAGCUUCUGUACUUGCACAUAGUCACAGCUUAGAUGAAGUGAUCCACCGAACAUUAAACAUAUCUUAGCUUCUCUGUUUUCUUUAAAA
Molecule: long non-coding RNA, 872 nt
Organism: Populus euphratica (Euphrates poplar)
Lineage: Eukaryota; Viridiplantae; Streptophyta; Magnoliopsida; Malpighiales; Salicaceae
Exons: 2
Source: RefSeq, a predicted model, not a curated record